AGCUCUAUCAAGCUACACUAAGCUAAACUUAGGAAAACAAUAAAGAAAUGCAAAUAAAUAAAGAUAAAUAAAAGACUUCAUUUUCAUUCAUUGAUCCCCAAUUGAUAAGAACACUANNNUAAUAUAAAUACUAUGUCUCAUUAAUAUCUAAAUUAUUUAACUAACUACUACUUAUAAUUAUUUAACUAAUUACUCCCUAAUCUUCUAUCAUUGCCGCCGGGUUCACUUGAACCUUGUCCUCAAGGUUCAGCUGCUAGUCUGGAGGAAUUAAAUUGGAGUGUGACUCGGGACAUAUAAUUUUUGUCAAAAAAGUUUUGUCCAUAAAAACAUUGGGCUAAUGCUUUGCGGCCCAUAGUUGAUUUGGUGGAAACCAAUUGUUGCGUGUCACUUGAAUUUUGCCUUGCAAUUUUGUGAAUAAAGCUAGAAACCAAUUGUUGCAUGUGCCAACACGUGGAGUGCUUGUAGGAGUGUCACCAUCAUUAUGGGGUGGAUUUGAAAUCACCAGCUGGUGAGUGGAAUUACCACUACGCAGUAGAAACAAAAACACAUUACGUGUUGUUGUUGUAGUGUAUGGUAGG
This 578-nucleotide long non-coding RNA is filed under the name Trifolium pratense (red clover). RNAcentral describes it as "long non-coding RNA (TPRA_LNC007932)". The record is from RNAcentral. Lineage: Eukaryota; Viridiplantae; Streptophyta; Magnoliopsida; Fabales; Fabaceae.